AAGUCGUAACAAGGUUUCCGUAGGUGAACCUGCGGAAGGAUCAUUAACGAACAAAGGGUUCACUAGUUUGAAUCUUUUGGGAUCAACCAAAACCUGUAAGAUAAUAGCAUUUCGGAUUAAUAUUCGAAUGCACAAUCAUUUAAUAAAAUACAAAACUUUCAACAACGGAUCUCUUGGCUCUU
Molecule: unclassified non-coding RNA, 182 nt
Filed under: fungal sp.
Lineage: Eukaryota; Fungi
Description: partial internal transcribed spacer region
Rfam family: Eukaryotic small subunit ribosomal RNA (bases 1-46)
Source: RNAcentral